UUAGUGGAAGCGUCUGGAAAGUCGCACGAUACAGGGUGAAAGUCCCGUACACAAAAGUGCAUGUGUUGUGAACUCGAAGAGUAGGGCGGGACACGUGGUAUCCUGUCUGAAUAUGGGGGGACCAUCCUCCAAGGCUAAAUACUCCUGACUGACCGAUAGUGAACCAGUACCGUGAGGGAAAGGCGAAAAGAACCCCGGCGAGGGGAGUGAAAAAGAACCUGAAACCGUGUACGUACAAGCAGUGGGAGCACCCUUUGGGGUGUGACUGCGUACCUUUUGUAUAAUGGGUCAGCGACUUAUAUUCUGUAGCAAGGUUAACCGAAUAGGGGAGCCGAAGGGAAACCGAGUCUUAACUGGGCGUUAAGUUGCAGGGUAUAGACCCGAAACCCGGUGAUCUAGCCAUGGGCAGGUUGAAGGUUGGGUAACACUAACUGGAGGACCGAACCGACUAAUGUUGAAAAAUUAGCGGAUGACUUGUGGCUGGGGGUGAAAGGCCAAUCAAACCGGGAGAUAGCUGGUUCUCCCCGAAAGCUAUUUAGGUAGCGCCUCGUGAACUCAUCUUCGGGGGUAGAGCACUGUUUCGGCUAGGGGGUCAUCCCGACUUACCAACCCGAUGCAAACUGCGAAUACCGAAGAAUGUUAUCACGGGAGACACACGGCGGGUGCUAACGUCCGUCGUGAAGAGGGAAACAACCCAGACCGCCAGCUAAGGUCCCAAAGUCAUGGUUAAGUGGGAAACGAUGUGGGAAGGCACAGACAGCCAGGAUGUUGGCUUAGAAGCAGCCAUCAUUUAAAGAAAGCGUAAUAGCUCACUGGUCGAGUCGGCCUGCGCGGAAGAUGUAACGGGGCUAAACCAUGCACCGAAGCUGCGGCAGCGACACUAUGUGUUGUUGGGUAGGGGAGCGUUCUGUAAGCCGUUGAAGGUGUAUCGUGAGGUAUGCUGGAGGUAUCAGAAGUGCGAAUGCUGACAUAAGUAACGAUAAUGCGGGUGAAAAACCCGCACGCCGGAAGACCAAGGGUUCCUGUCCAACGUUAAUCGGGGCAGGGUGAGUCGACCCCUAAGGCGAGGCCGAAAGGCGUAGUCGAUGGGAAACAGGUUAAUAUUCCUGUACUUGGUGUUACUGCGAAGGGGGGACGGAGAAGGCUAUGUUAGCCGGGCGACGGUUGUC
RNAcentral lists this ribosomal RNA (1169 nucleotides) under Citrobacter freundii. RNAcentral describes it as "partial 23S ribosomal RNA". It matches the Rfam family "Bacterial large subunit ribosomal RNA", at positions 329 to 1506 of the family's 2925-position model. Lineage: Bacteria; Pseudomonadati; Pseudomonadota; Gammaproteobacteria; Enterobacterales; Enterobacteriaceae. The record is from RNAcentral.